ACGAACAUUCCUAUGAUCUUGUUGAUUUCCAUGAAAAAAACUGUCUCUUGGCAAGCUAAAUGAAUGUUUUAGGCUCAGAAAUUAAACUUAUUUGUCUUAUUGAGUCCUGGUUAUUGAUGAGCACAUAUUCAACUUGGGCAUUUAAUUUGUCUUCCACCAAGCCAGGCAAACACGUGUCAGUGUUAAGGUUGCCUUAGCGGAAGCUAAUAUAUCUGUGAUUUGGUGUUAAUUUUUUAGUGUUUUUCAUUGAAGUAAGAUUGUCGAAUUAAAAAUAGAGUAAAUGUCUACACAAGAUAUCUGGAUGUUAC
Molecule: unclassified non-coding RNA, 308 nt
Filed under: Hevea brasiliensis (rubber tree)
Lineage: Eukaryota; Viridiplantae; Streptophyta; Magnoliopsida; Malpighiales; Euphorbiaceae
Source: RNAcentral